UUCUGCGGCAUAUACCACCCUGAAUGUGACCGAUCUCAGCUGACCUGAGAAACUAAGCAGGGUCAGGCCUGGCUAGUACAGGAGCCCUGGUGAUACAGUGG
Molecule: ribosomal RNA, 101 nt
Filed under: Loxodonta africana (African savanna elephant)
Lineage: Eukaryota; Metazoa; Chordata; Mammalia; Proboscidea; Elephantidae
Source: RNAcentral